RNAcentral lists this ribosomal RNA (495 nucleotides) under uncultured Bacteroidales bacterium. RNAcentral's name for it is "bacterial SSU rRNA". It matches the Rfam family "Bacterial small subunit ribosomal RNA", at positions 190 to 685 of the family's 1533-position model. The record is from RNAcentral. Lineage: Bacteria; Pseudomonadati; Bacteroidota; Bacteroidia; Bacteroidales.
UCUCUCCGGGUUGAAAACUCCGGUGGUUAUAGAUGGACAUGCGUUGUAUUAGCUAGUUGGUGAGGUAACGGCUCACCAAGGCAACGAUACAUAGGGGGACUGAGAGGUUAACCCCCCACACUGGUACUGAGACACGGACCAGACUCCUACGGGAGGCAGCAGUGAGGAAUAUUGGUCAAUGGACGCAGGUCUGAACCAGCCAUGCCGCGUGCAGGAAGACGGCUCUAUGAGUUGUAAACUGCUUUUGUACGAGGGUAAACUCACCUACGUGUAGGUGACUGAAAGUAUCGUACGAAUAAGGAUCGGCUAACUCCGUGCCAGCAGCCGCGGUAAUACGGAGGAUUCAAGCGUUAUCCGGAUUUAUUGGGUUUAAAGGGUGCGUAGGCGGUUUGAUAAGUUAGAGGUGAAAUCCCGGGGCUUAACUCCGGAACUGCCUCUAAUACUGUUAGACUAGAGAGUAGUUGCGGUAGGCGGAAUGUAUGGUGUAGCGGUGAA